Molecule: long non-coding RNA, 200 nt
Filed under: Oryza brachyantha (malo sina)
Lineage: Eukaryota; Viridiplantae; Streptophyta; Magnoliopsida; Poales; Poaceae
Description: long non-coding RNA (OBRA_LNC003146)
Source: RNAcentral
AAGUUGCAGCAAUAGAACAUACGUCUCAUAGUACAUUGCAUUGAGAAUGAGAGGAAUUAGGAAAUUACCUCCUGCGAGAUGCUGGUAUGUGGUCGAAGCAGCCUAUCAUUUUUCUACAUAAUGGAAGCAAUGCCCGGACACAUAAAUCAAGCCAUUCUUUUAGCAGCAUCGAAUGUGGUACAUGCUGAAGAGCUUAGCUG